Molecule: ribosomal RNA, 539 nt
Filed under: uncultured bacterium
Lineage: Bacteria
Description: bacterial SSU rRNA
Rfam family: Bacterial small subunit ribosomal RNA
Source: RNAcentral
AUCUUGCGCAUGGGCGAAAGCCUGNCGCAGCCAUGCCGCGUGAAUGAUGAAGGUCUUAGGAUUGUAAAGUUCUUUCGCCCGUGACGAUGAUGACGGUAACGGGAGAAGAAGCCCCGGCUAACUUCGUGCCAGCAGCCGCGGUAAUACGAAGGGGGCUAGCGUUGUUCGGAAUUACNUGGGCGUAAAGCGCGCGUAGGCGGUUUUGCAAGCCAGAGGUGAAAUGCCUGAGCUCAACUUAGGAAUUGCCUUUGGGACUGUGAGACUUCGAGGACUGGAGAGGUGAGUGGAAUUCCCAGUGUAGAGGUGAAAUUCGUAGAUAUUGGGAAGAACACCGGUGGCGAAGGCGGCUCACUGGCCAGUUUCUGACGCUGUAGCGCGAAAGCGUGGGGAUCAAACAGGAUUAGAUACCCUGGUAGUCCACGCCGUAAACGAUGAGUGCUAGGCGUCGGCAGGCUUGCCUGUCGGUGCCGCAGCUAACGCGUGAAGCACUCCGCCUGGGGAGUACGGUCGCAAGAUUAAAACUCAAAAAAAUUGACGGA